UACGAAGGGGGCUAGCGUUGCUCGGAAUCACUGGGCGUAAAGCGCACGUAGGCGGCUUUUUAAGUCAGGGGUGAAAUCCUGGAGCUCAACUCCAGAACUGCCUUUGAUACUGGGAAGCUUGAGUCCGGAAGAGAUGAGUGGAACUCCGAGUGUAGAGGUGAAAUUCGUAGAUAUUCGGAAGAACACCAGUGGCGAAGGCGGCUCACUGGUCCGGUACUGACGCUGAGGUGCGAAAGCGUGGGGAGCAAACAGG
This 253-nucleotide ribosomal RNA is filed under the name uncultured bacterium. RNAcentral describes it as "partial 16S ribosomal RNA". It matches the Rfam family "Bacterial small subunit ribosomal RNA", at positions 524 to 776 of the family's 1533-position model. The record is from RNAcentral.